UCUUUGCCCUCUCUGGCUCUCUCUCUCUCUUCGCUGCAUCUAUGUUUUAGGUGACGGAACUCUUUGGGUUCACUUAUCGGCGAUCCUCUGCUUCUUCGUCGUUCUCUACCCCUCCCGUUUUCGGCCUUUAUUUUUGGUUCUUAGAUCCCAUGUUCGCCGAAUUCGGUAAUGGGAUUGCUGUGUUUCUCUGUUUUAGGUGCUCUUAAGUUCUCUUCCUGGUUGAAGAAGAUGCCAUUGCUUGGUCCGACCGGUGCUGGAUUCUUUCUAUCUUCCCAUAGGUCAGGAUUCUGUGUGCUUGGACAUCUAUUAGCAAUUUAGCACAAAGGCCAAGACAAAGAGCAUCUCUUUAUUUAAACCAACUGCAAAUAGGUGACGUAUCAGUCUUGGACUAAUUUCAGGAAUGAGGGUAGGUAAAAAGCAAGUCGGUGUUCAUUGUUUACUUUUCAUUUUGGUCCUUCUUUUGAUUGGUUAGUACUCUUUCUCUGCUUCUGUUUUCACACUCAAAUAUCUUUCCUGUAGGGAGGUUCUUGAGGAUCAGCAGUUUGCACGUGAACUCUGUGAAGAGGCUUUGUCUAAUUUCAUGAUUUCAUCUAUUCAUUCUUAAACUCAAAAUAAAGUUAGCUUUACCUAUUUUCAUGGUCACAACUCACAAAUAUGUAUAUUUUGUUUGAAAAUGCAAGAAACCAAUGGGAAAGUUAAGAAAAUGGAAAAUCUGAAAAGAAAAAUUACGAUAUUUUGAAAAAAAACCCACUAAAAUGAAAAUAUCAUGCUUUUCAUGUUUUUGAGAAAACUUUUUAAGUGUUACUUUUUUGGAGGUUUCAGUCUAUUUUGAAUUUUUAUUAAUGUUUUAUAGGAAAAUAGUACAAACUCACAUUUUUCAAAUUUUUAUUGUUACAUUUUUUAUUUUUUGAAUUCUCAAGAUUUUUCUAAGAGAAAAUGCACUUAAUGCCCGAGAAAAAAAAGGCACUUUUAAGUUUUAAGAACCUGAAAACGAUGUCUGGCAAUGCUUAAUUGAUUACCUACAUAGUUCAAUGGAUCCAAUUGCUAACUUGGUUACAUUAUUCUGUAUGAAACCAUGCUUUUUGGUAGUUAAGCAUCAUCAAUCCUAACCUUGGCUUCAUAUGGAACCAAUCAAUUUGGUUCAUCCUUCUUCAGAAGGAAGGUCAGUGUUAAUCUAUGUUGUCAAAAGCAAUAAGCAUGACCAACGUGUUGACUGGAGCCUACAUCUGGCAGAACUGGUGCAUCAAGCUGGUGAGGAAAAAAAUAAAUAAAAUGCGAAGUUAAAUAUUGUAAUUAGCAGCAACACUAAAACAUUUCUUAAUGAAAUUGUAUAAUGAAAAUGAAUGAUAAUACUGACAUGUUUAGUAUUCCAUAACUUGAUAACAAAUAUAACUAAAAGUUCAAAACAUCAAUUUUAAUGAAGUUGAAGGAUUCAAGCAGAAAGGUUAUAUAACAUAAAAAGAACAGUUUAAAUUUAACGUAAGCACUUUUCAAGGUUAUGGAACAAACAAAAGUUCCCUAUCCUGAAUGCCAGCUGAUGAAUCACUAGUUCUAAUUUCUAAGACAUUAGAACCUUAACUAAACCCUAAAGUUACUGAUCUAAUUAAAGAGUAGGAAAGUAGCCUCAAUAUAAUCACGGCUUCCAUGUUAAUCUUGUCAUGCAACUGUCGUUCAUUAUAUUCCUAAUAAACAAGAAAAAGUUUUCAGAAGAUUAAUACACGUGUUCACAUGCAACAUCACAAAGAAUGGGGAAAAGAAAAUCUGCAUAAAAGCACAAGAAGAAAACAGAAAAAGGAGGAUGAUAAAAAAAAUUGUCUUAGAAGGCAGAAAGAAGACAAAAUGAUAAAAAAAUUGUUUUAGAAGGCAGAAAGAAGAAAAAAUAAGAGAAAGAAGAGAAAAGAAAGAAAAAGUGUAAGAACAUAAAUAAAUCUAGGCUGUUGAAGAGGAAAACACAUAGGCUUUUCAGCACCAAGGUGGCUUAAGCGAUGGCCUGGGUAUUUAAGUAUGACAAGUCACUUAGGAACAGCUAGCCCAGGCAAUUAGUCAAGCCUUUUCUAUCAUAUGUCCUACACGGAACUUAUGUUGUAAGUCAAACCUAAUUACUUUUAUAACAAUUUUUCUUUGUGAAGAAUUGAGUAACAUCUUAUAUAGAAGUUUGAACAUUGCUCAUAAGAAAAAGUAUCAAAAGAAAGAAUGCUCUUCAAGAACAUCAAAUCUUCAGGAAGAAAAGACUGCAGAUUCAAAUUGAAGGUGAAUAACUCAAUCGAACAUUGUCUUAAAAGGUAAGGGUGUCAAUAUUACCCAUGGAAAGGAGGUUAUCAAAACUCAAUCUGAAGCAAAUAUCACGUGAUAACUGUUAGCAUUUGUUCAGCAUAUUGAUAGUAAGAGUAGGAAAGUGCAAAAAGGCUCAAACAUUGCAACACCUAUAUAUGGACAUGUUUUGAAAGGCUAACUUCUAGGAUUGAAAGGCUAACUUAACUUCUAGGAUUAGAUCAACAUCUUGUGGCUGGUGAGAUGAAGGAUGAAACAGAUAUUAGUAAAUUGUCAGUUUAUUUUUCCCCGUCUCAGAAUCUAUUUUUUGUUUAAUUUGUCUGAUUCUAUAUAGACUUCAAGCUGGAGGGCUCAAAUCAGGUCUGUGAAAAAUUGGCAUGUCAUGGAUUCAUGAUCAUAACUGGUGAUAGUUAACAAUUAUAUUCACAUCUUAUCCCGUAAAUAAAAAUGAGCAUGCAUACAAGCUGAUGAUAAAGAAACUAAAUGAAGGAAUAUAUUUUGCGUCAGUAGUUCUGAAUGUUCACUUUAGUUCUUUUUUUUGGUUGCUUCAUUUAUUUCCAUCCUGUGCAGUAUAUGGUACUACUUUUCGCUGGUUAUUUCAAUCUAGGGAAAGGUUUUUCUUCUUGUCCUGUUUAUCUAUUUGUAUUCUUCCUUGGACUAUACAUGUUUCAGCUAGCGUUCAACAGUUUUCUAUACCAUAGCCUUCCGUAAGAUGCCAAGCAUUCACAUAUGUAUUCUUCCAGAAACUGCCAAAUGUGCUGUCUUUUGUCCUUUCUACAUGAGUAGCAUGCAUACAAACUGGCUUUUGUCACUUUUGUUGAUCAAAUUUGUCAUUUGCGUAUGGCACUCCUGCAUGUUAUUCAUGAAUGCCACACAUGACACAUCAUUUGAGUGAUUCAAGCCUGCAAUCAUGUUUUAUGCAUUAUGUGGAGGAUGGGGCUGGUAAAUAGAGUUGAAAGUGCGAAGCUUGAUGUAUUUAAGCUCCGAAUUAUUUGUGCAGUUGAGCUCAACCUUAUAUAGUUAUUAAACUACAUGAAUGGAGCUUAAGGUGGCUUUUUCAGAGAAAAAUAGAACUGCCUCCGUCGCAAUUGUGGUUGAGUGGAGUGGAACUAAGGACAUCUGAUUCUUACAAACUUCGAAGUAGUUGCGCAAUUUUGUGCAAAGUUCGUUGAUGGAACUCAAGCAAGCUAGGUUUGGCAUGGCUUGUGUUCAACCUGUUGGAUGGUAACCACCUUCGUUUCUCAGCCUUGCAUUUGAUGGCGUUCAUUUUAGAGAACCAAUCCGUCUGAUUUGUUCUUUUCCAACUUCACCUACUCAAAGGGAAGUCCCGUUAGAAGUGGUUUAGGUUUCGGGUACAUGUAGACCUUGUGCGUGAGUCAAAUUGACUGACAAGCUGAGGAUUCAUGAAAAUGCACUUUUUUAAUAAAAUGUAUUAAUCAAGCUUA
This is a long non-coding RNA of Nymphaea colorata (pocket water lily), 3716 nucleotides long. RefSeq lists it as uncharacterized. The transcript has 3 exons. Lineage: Eukaryota; Viridiplantae; Streptophyta; Magnoliopsida; Nymphaeales; Nymphaeaceae. The record is from RefSeq and is a predicted model, not a curated record.